This is a long non-coding RNA of Hordeum vulgare subsp. vulgare (domesticated barley), 898 nucleotides long. RefSeq lists it as uncharacterized. The transcript has 3 exons. The record is from RefSeq and is a predicted model, not a curated record. Lineage: Eukaryota; Viridiplantae; Streptophyta; Magnoliopsida; Poales; Poaceae.
UUUGUGAAUCUUUCAAGAAGCUCAACUUUCAGUUAGUACGUGAAGGAUUUCUUGCUAAUCUUCAGAUUUCUCCUACCUUGAAAGUCCAAGUCCAACAAGCUUAACUUCUUGAUCAAGGCUCUGAAUAUCAGAUGUUAGCAACCUAACAGUUCCUCACUCGAUCUAUUGCUCUUACACACGAAUUCGAGUAGCGAUCUGGGGAUACAAUCACCCCGUACACGAAUUGGGGAAGGAGUGGGGAAGAGGGAAGAAGGUAGCUACCAUCGCCGGUUUGGUUGAUCCACUGGAUGCCUCUGUCUCGGAUGCGUGGUGGUUAAGUAGGUCACGGCUCACACCCACUCUCGGUAGUGACUCCUUGGGUUGGGCUUCCUCAUCCUCGUGGCCGCCUGGUUGGCGAGGCUGUAGGCCUGGCCCCCCACCAGUUCUGACAUACUCCGCGCCCAAAUGUGGGCCGAGCCCGGGCCUCUCUGCCUUGUCUCCUCCCCGCUCCCUCCGUCACGGGAGGCCCCAUAGCGGCGGCCGGGUCAGGGUGGAGGCGGAAGGCCGUGGAAAGUCCGGCGUUUGUGGGCGCAGCAGGGUGAGGAGGUUGAUUACAAUUUUCGUCUGUACGAUGCCGGACGCACAAAAUACCCACGCCAUAGUGCAGUGGACGGCGGGCUCAGCGGGUGGGCGACAGCGGCAUGCUGUACGGCUGGCACCCCAACGGCUCUUUCGAAGCUAGUAGACAGGUAGCUGGAUGGAUUCCCUAGCACACAUGCGUGCAACUCGCCGGUACUUCCUGUACGUAGACUAAUUGCUUUGGGUGCUACUUAGCUUGGAUUGAAUCAACUCAGCUCUGUCAGCGGAACCUCUCGACAAGAACACUACAGGCGCAUCUCUUGCCUGUUUAUUUGCUUUA